UACGAAGGUCCCAAGCGUUAUCCGGAUUUAUUGGGUUUAAAGGGUGCGUAGGCGGCUUAUUAAGUCAGUGGUGAAAGCCCCAAGCUUAACUUGGGAACUGCCAUUGAUACUGAUGAGCUUGAGUAGAUUUGAGGCGGGCGGAAUGUGUCGUGUAGCGGUGAAAUGCGUAGAGAUCAGGAAGAACACCCGUGGCGAAGGCGGCUCUCUGGAACGCAACUGACGCUGAGACGCGAAAGCGUGGGGAGCAAACAGG
Molecule: ribosomal RNA, 253 nt
Filed under: uncultured bacterium
Lineage: Bacteria
Description: partial 16S ribosomal RNA
Rfam family: Bacterial small subunit ribosomal RNA
Source: RNAcentral